UGGGGGAUAUUGCACAAUGGGGGAAACCCUGAUGCAGCAACGCCGCGUGAAGGAAGAAGGUCUUCGGAUUGUAAACUUCUGUUCUUGGUGACGAAUUUUGACGGUAGCCAAGUAGAAAGCCACGGCUAACUACGUGCCAGCAGCCGCGGUAAUACGUAGGUGGCGAGCGUUGUCCGGAAUUACUGGGUGUAAAGGGUGCGCAGGCGGGACUGCAAGUUGGAUGUGAAAUACCGAGGCUUAACCUCGGGGCUGCAUCCAAAACUGUAGUUCUUGAGUGAAGUAGAGGUAGGCGGAAUUCCGAGUGUAGCGGUGAAAUGCGUAGAUAUUCGGAGGAACACCAGUGGCGAAGGCGGCCUACUGGGCUUUAACUGACGCUGAGGCACGAAAGUGUGGGGAGCAAACAGG
Molecule: ribosomal RNA, 405 nt
Filed under: uncultured prokaryote
Also listed under: 1 other name
Description: bacterial SSU rRNA
Rfam family: Bacterial small subunit ribosomal RNA
Source: RNAcentral